AUUGAACGCUGGCGGCAUGCCUAACACAUGCAAGUCGAACGGAGGUAGGGGCAACUCUACUUCAGUGGCGGACGGGUGAGGAAUGCGUCGGAAUCUACCCUAUGGUGGGGGAUAACACAGGGAAACUUGUGCUAAUACCGCAUAAUGUCGAGAGACCAAAGCAGGGGACCGCAAGGCCUUGCGCGAUAGGAUGAGCCGACGCCCGAUUAGCUAGUUGGUAGGGUAAAGGCCUACCAAGGCGACGAUCGGUAGCUGGUCUGAGAGGAUGAUCAGCCACACUGGGACUGAGACACGGCCCAGACUCCUACGGGAGGCAGCAGUGGGGAAUAUUGGACAAUGGGCGCAAGCCUGAUCCAGCAAUGCCGCGUGUGUGAAGAAGGCCUGCGGGUUGUAAAGCACUUUUGUUCGGGAAGAAAUCAUGCUGGUUAAUACCUGGUAUGGAUA
This 444-nucleotide ribosomal RNA is filed under the name uncultured bacterium. Its description in RNAcentral is "bacterial SSU rRNA". It matches the Rfam family "Bacterial small subunit ribosomal RNA", at positions 30 to 474 of the family's 1533-position model. The record is from RNAcentral.